Molecule: ribosomal RNA, 455 nt
Filed under: Bacillus sp. R-30620
Lineage: Bacteria; Bacillati; Bacillota; Bacilli; Caryophanales; Bacillaceae
Description: bacterial SSU rRNA
Rfam family: Bacterial small subunit ribosomal RNA
Source: RNAcentral
GACGAACGCUGGCGGCGUGCCUAAUACAUGCAAGUCGAGCGAAUCGAYGGGAGCUUGCUCCCUGAGAUUAGCGGCGGACGGGUGAGUAACACGUGGGCAACCUGCCUAUAAGACUGGGAUAACUUCGGGAAACCGGAGCUAAUACCGGAUACGUUCUUUUCUCGCAUGAGAGAAGAUGGAAAGACGGUUUACGCUGUCACUUAUAGAUGGGCCCGCGGCGCAUUAGCUAGUUGGUGAGGUAAUGGCUCACCAAGGCGACGAUGCGUAGCCGACCUGAGAGGGUGAUCGGCCACACUGGGACUGAGACACGGCCCAGACUCCUACGGGAGGCAGCAGUAGGGAAUCUUCCGCAAUGGACGAAAGUCUGACGGAGCAACGCCGCGUGAACGAAGAAGGCCUUCGGGUCGUAAAGUUCUGUUGUUAGGGAAGAACAAGUACCAGAGUAACUGCUGGUA